Molecule: ribosomal RNA, 2967 nt
Filed under: Triticum aestivum (bread wheat)
Lineage: Eukaryota; Viridiplantae; Streptophyta; Magnoliopsida; Poales; Poaceae
Description: partial small subunit ribosomal RNA
Source: RNAcentral
AUGGCCUCUGGUCAGGUGAUCACUUUGGAUCUCAGUGAUCGUAACCUGCGGAGCAUCAAUGGUCUCAGCGCAGCACUAUUCCACCUCACCUCUCUCAGAAAUCUCAGCCUCUCGGAUAACGACUUUAACCAAGCCAUCCUUCCUAGUUUCGGGUUUGAGCGGCUGACUGAGCUACUCAGUCUUGAGUUGUCUGGUACAGGAUUGGCUGGUCAGAUACCUAUUGGAAUUGCCUGCCUCGUGAAAUUGCUUACGCUAGAUUUCUCUGGGAAUAGUUUAUUAUACCUCCGAGAGCCAAGCCUUCAGACUCUCAUAGCAAACAUGAGCAAUCUGAGACUCUAUCUAGAUAAUGUGGGCAUCAUAAGUAGCGAAUCAAUCUGGUCUGUUGCUUUAGCAAACUCCGUUCCUCUACUACAGGAUAUUAGUUUGCUUCAAUGUGGAGUAAGUGGUCAUAUUCACAAUUCAUUCUCCCGACUCCGUUUUCUAGCAACAAUCAACCUUGCAAGUAACAUAAUUUCCGGCAUGGUUCCUGGAUUCUUUGCAGAAUUCUCUUUCUUAAGAGACAUUGAUCUCUCGGAUAAUGAUUUUGGAGGGCAAUUUCCCACAAAUAUUUUCCAGCUAAAAACUCUGAGAUUUCUUAACAUGGCCUACAACCCCCGUCUUUCUGUGCAACUACCACAUUUCCCACCAGGAAAUAGUUUGGAAUUUUUAGACCUGAGGUAUACAAACACUUUGGGUGCCAUACCAGACUCUUUUGUCCAUCUCAAGUCACUGAAAUUCUUGGGCCUUAGUAACAUAGGAUCUCCCAAGCAAGCCACUACUUCUUCCAUAGUAGCUAACCUUACAUCCCUAAAUACAUUGUUGCUCUACGGGUCAGGAAUAGAGAAGCCAAUACUCUCUUGGGGAAGACUUCAGAAUCUGACGGAAUUGAUGCUGGUAGAUUAUAAUUUCUCUGGCCCAAUUCCUUGGUGGAUCACAAAUUAUACGAAUUUGAUGAGACACGCUGUCAGUAAUGUCAGUUUAUCUGGGGCAAUACCAUCGCGGAUUGAAAACUUAACCAAGCUUACAUUUUUGGACUUAUCAUAUAAUAGGCUGAGCGGUAAAAUCCCAAAGGCUCUGUUCACUCUUCCGUCGUUGCAAGAAGUAGUACUAUCAUCACAUGAACUUUGUGGAACUCUAGAAGACAUUCCAGACCCAAUAUCUUCCUUCCUGCACGACAUCGACCUAAGCAAUAACAACCUUGCAGGUCAUAUACCCAAAUCAUUCUUUGAACUUUCGAGACUUCAAGUUCUCUUGCUUGACUCGAAUCACUUCGAAGGCACAGUAGAACUUAGCCUUCUUUGGAAGCUAAAGGCACUGGAUUCAUUGUCGCUCUCCAAUAAUAUGUUAUCAGUCAUAGAUGUUGAGGAUGGAUAUCCAUUUUCUUACCCCCAUAACAUCAGAAAACUAGAACUAGCAUGUUGCAACCUUACAAAAAUUCCAAUUGCAUUGAGGUAUGCAAAUGAGAUGCUUUACUUGGACCUCUCAAACAACAGAAUAGAUGGAGUCAUACCAAGUUGGAUAUGGGUGAACUGGAAGGAUACUAUAGGGUUGGACCUCUCACACAAUAUGUUCACUGGCCUUGAGAACUCUCCAUCUGUCGUUCUUAUGCACAAUUUAGAGAUUCUCGAUCUUAGUUCCAAUAAACUUCAUGGCAGUGUACCUAUACCACUCACAGCUAGCAACUCCCAAGUUUUAUUGGAUUACUCAAACAAUAAUUUCUCUUAUAUUAUACCUGACUUUGGUACAUACCUUCCAAACAAGUACUACCUUAAUUUGUCCAGGAAUAAAUUAAGUGGUCACAUACCAAGGUCGAUUUGUACCCAACAGGAACUUGAGGUCCUGGACUUAUCAUAUAACAAUUUUGGAGGCAGGGUGCCGUCCUGUCUAAUACAAAGUAGCAGCAUCUCGAUAUUGAAGUUGACAGACAAUCAUUUCCGUGGGAAAUUGCCUGGAAAUAUUGUAGAAGGAUGUAUGCUUCAGAUAAUAGAUUUAAACAGCAACCGAGUUGAAGGGAAAAUACCCAGAUCACUAUCGAAUUGCAGAAGUUUAGAGGUUCUUGACAUUGGUAGAAAUCAAAUUCUUGAUACUUUUCCAUCUUGGUUGGGUAAGAUGUCUAAUCUUCGGAUUCUUAUCUUGAGAUCCAAUCAAUUGUAUGGCUCAAUAGGAGGCCCUGCUGAAAGUGAUGCAACCAGUAAGCAUUUCUCGAGUUUGCAAAUUGUUGAUUUGACCUCAAAUAAUUUUUCUGGGAGCUUAAGUUUGAAAUGGUUUGACAAGCUAGAGACAAUGAUGGUAAACUCUACUGGUGAGGGCUAUGCUCUUGGCCUUCGAGGAUUGUACUACCAGGAAAUUCUCACAUUUAAAGGGGUUGAUCUUACAUUUACCAAGAUCCUGACCACUUUCAAGAUGAUUGAUUUCUCAAACAACGCAUUUGAUGGCCCCGUCCCAAACUCAGUUGGGAAGCUUAUUGCUCUGCAUGGCCUGAAUAUGUCAAAUAAUGCCUUCACGGGGAGAAUCCCAUCACAGCUUGGUGACUUGGUACAGCUUGAGUCACUGGACCUCUCUCGGAACAAGCUCUCAUGGGAGAUCCCACAGGAUCUAACCAGCCUAACAUAUCUUGCAGUGCUGAAUCUCUCCUCUAACAAUUUGACUGGAAUGAUACCAGAAGGGCAGCAGUUUUCGUCAUUCACCAACAGCUCGUUCGAAGGCAAUGAAGGGCUUUCUGGAAGGCCAUUAUCCAAACAGUGCAACAGUUCAGGUACGGGAACCCUCGACUCAUCAGUGUCUUCACAAGACAGUGUUGGAACCAUAGUGCUGUUUGUGCUUGUGGGAUCCGGUUUUGGAGUUGGAUUUGCGGUGGCAGUUGUGUUGUCAGUGAUUUUCCAGGCCAAACGCUGGAACUGCAAUCGUUUUCGUUCUACCAGUAAAUGA